GAACGCUGGCGGCGUGCCUAAUACAUGCAAGUCGAGCGGACUUGAUGGAGUGCUUGCACUCCUGAGAGUUAGCGGCGGACGGGUGAGUAACACGUAGGCAACCUGCCCUCAAGACUGGGAUAACUACCGGAAACGGUAGCUAAUACCGGAUAAUUUAUUUCACAGCAUUGUGGAAUAAUGAAAGACGGAGCAAUCUGUCACUUGGGGAUGGGCCUGCGGCGCAUUAGCUAGUUGGUGGGGUAAUGGCUCACCAAGGCGACGAUGCGUAGCCGACCUGAGAGGGUGAACGGCCACACUGGGACUGAGACACGGCCCAGACUCCUACGGGAGGCAGCAGUAGGGAAUCUUCCGCAAUGGGCGAAAGCCUGACGGAGCAACGCCGCGUGAGUGAUGAAGGUUUUCGGAUCGUAAAGCUCUGUUGCCAAGGAAGAACGUCUUCUAGAGUAACUGCUAGGAGAGUGACGGUACUUGAGAAGAAAGCCCCGGCUAACUACGUGCCAGCAGCCGCGGUAAUACGUAGGG
RNAcentral lists this ribosomal RNA (522 nucleotides) under Paenibacillus sp. 637(2010). RNAcentral describes it as "bacterial SSU rRNA". It matches the Rfam family "Bacterial small subunit ribosomal RNA", at positions 31 to 532 of the family's 1533-position model. Lineage: Bacteria; Bacillati; Bacillota; Bacilli; Caryophanales; Paenibacillaceae. The record is from RNAcentral.